Long non-coding RNA from Lolium perenne, 5781 nucleotides. RefSeq lists it as uncharacterized. The record is from RefSeq and is a predicted model, not a curated record. Lineage: Eukaryota; Viridiplantae; Streptophyta; Magnoliopsida; Poales; Poaceae.
UGAUGCACAUCUUCACUAGUCCAUUAUCACAAAAUGGAUGGCAAGCUUCAAGAAUAUGAUUCACUUGAGAUGCUCAUCUUGAACUUGCCCAACUCAACCUUGUAUCUUCUCAUACUCACAUAAGAUAGAGCAUGGCUAAUAUUGAGUUCCACAUAAGAACUCCAUCUUACGUUUCUUCUUCUUGAUCAUAUCACAUAUAUAUAUUCAUGCCGAUGAUCUUGAUGCCAAUACACAAGGUAUACCUUUAUCUUCAUGGCAUCCAUACUUGAAUCCAACACAUGGAGAGCAAGUAGUACCUAUGGAGUAUUCCUUCAUAUAAACUCAAUGAAAACAUUAGUCCAUAGGGGUUGUCAUUAAUUACCAAAACCACACAUAGGGGCAAUGUACCCUUACAAUACUCUCGAGAGAAACUAUCUCUCACUCCUUGUAACCUUUGAAUAGUGCCCGUUCCUUGCUACUGCCAAAUUGCAUAUCCUUUACUUCUCUCUAAGGUGGUUUGCGAGUACAAUUCAUAAUGUACUCAUGGCUUUGUCCCUGGCUAUUUACUUGGCCAGACUUGGUGGAAUCCGACAGAUGAAGAAGGAGUCGACGACGUCUAUGCGAGCUAGGAACGUCUUCCCAGUCAGUUGCCUGUAGGGUUAUGGCAUGACUUGGGCCAUGCGAACGCUUUCGUCUGAAGUAUUUCCGCUCUGUGAUUGUUGAUCUCCUGCCAUUAUGGCUCUUAUGUAAGUAUUGGUCAUGUGACCUGUUGUAAUCUUUUUAUUCGGUACUGUAAUGGAUGAUGUAUUUGAUACCAGUUCGGUUAUGCUUUCACGACACACUGAUCAUGGGAUCAUGAAUGUGUAUGCAUAACGGGUGUUUCGGACAGCUAGUCCGGGGCCCCACAAUAAAUAUCGGUCCACAGAGGAUACUUCCCUGUCGAGCACAAUUCGAACACCACAUCUUUCUCAUGCUUCUACCAGGCACACUCCCACGACGACGGCUGUGCCCCAUCGCCCCUCCUCACCAUCACUGCCUCCUCACCGGCCACCGUAGUGACCGACCACGUUUUACCGGCUCCCUUGCUAUCUAGCAAGCUGGAUUAGCUUCCUCGAUGCCGAUGUUGACUGCGCCAUAUCUGCUCCGGAUCCGCUUCCCCAACUCUAUAGUCCACCUCAUCGGAGAUCGACAUGGGCAAAAAACGCGGCCCCAAAGUCGACCACCCCCAACCAAAGAGUAAAUCCACCCUGGCCUCAGACGAAUGUUGAUGAAUAAUUUACAUGUCCACUUUUGUUAUAUGCAUUUGAUUUCUGACACUAGUUUUCAUUGCUUUCUUGCAAUGCAUUCUUGCUGUUAUUAGAUCAGUGUAGAUAGUUGUUUGCCGCGUAGCUAUAUGUGAUCUUAACCUUACAUCUGCUGAUCGAGAGGAAGAUCGAGGUUAUGUCAGCUUUCGUUAUGCAUUUGUUUUCCGAGAAUCACUUCUUUGUGAUAUGUUUUGGGGGUUUGAAGUAUGCAUUUUACAAAGGUUAUGAUAGCAGUCAAGCUAGCAGAGCAAUUUGUUGAUAGUAUUAAACUGCCAGUAUUUUUUUUAUCUCGGAACUCUGCUGAUCAUAACCUUACAUCUGCUGAUGGAGAGGCAGAGCUUAUGUCCGCUUUCGUUACGCAUUUCUUUUCCAAAUAUCACUUAUGUGCGGUACUUUUUUGGGGUUUGAAGUAUACUACCUCCACCCCAAACCUGAAGGCUUAUUUAUAAAAGUCAAACCAAGUAAAGUUUGACCAAACUUUCAGAACAAUCUAUCAAGAAAUAUAAUAUUCUGUAGAUACCGUACGAAAAUAUAUUCGUUAUCUAUUUAAUGAUAUUAAAUUGUUAUUUUGCAUGUUAAUGAUUUUUGGUAAAAACUUCGGGAUGGUGGUAAUACGUUUUACAAAGGUUAUGAUAGCAGUCAAGCUAGCAGAGCAAUUUAUUGAUAGUAUUAAACUGCCUGUAUUUUUUUCUAUUUGCAACUCUGUGUGCGCCAUGUGGAAUUGCAUGCUCUAGCCGGUUCAUCCAAUGAGGUUUUAUCACUUAACACCAAAGUUCGAGAUUUUUUUAUCACAGAACCACAACCCUAGAAAUUUGUAUCACAAAACACCAACAUUUGGGGUAAUUGUUUCGCAGAAUACAUGAUCUCUGUUUGAUAGCCCAUUAGUGACUUCCGGCAACCGUCAAUUUAAGAGUGACAGUAGGAGAAACACAAUUAGACUUUAUUUUGUGGUAUUUGCUGUUAAACGCUAAAUACAAAGCUGUUUGUCAACACUAGUUGUUAAAUCUUAUGUCUAGACAGUUCAAAAAAAAUCUUUUGUCCAGGGUAGUUGUAUUGGUACACAUUAUCAAAACCUUAUGCUGGUACAUAAUAUAUUACCCAGAUCUCAUGUUCUUGUGUGGUUAUAAUUUCAAUGGAUAUUUUUCAUAUGGUAAUUCAUUUGUGUGUACCAUAUGUAACAAGUGUGACUCAUAUUCUCAUUUCCACAUAGUGUCUACAAAAUUUCACACCAAAAUUCAUUUGUUUGUAGCAAACAUGCUCACGUACUGUAAAUUGGUGUCACGCUGUAGGGUCAUGCUCUUGUCAAGCCAACUAAUGACAAAUAAUGUGUUAUGUGAAAUAAUUUCCCUAAAUGUUGGUGUUUUGUGAUAAAAAAAAUCCCCAACUUGUAGUGCUAAGUGAUAAAACCACUCAUUCAAUAGACCGAGCCUUAGGCAUGUAUCAUUAGAUAUUUUUUAGGAAGGCUGCAAAUAUUUAUUUUGAAUACUGUGUUGCUACUUGCUAGGAUUUGAACUCAUGACCUUGUCUGAUACCAUUUCGAAUUGCAUGCUCUAGCAAGUUCAUCCAAUAGACCGAUAUGUUGGAACUUGUAAGACCCUAGGCAAUUAUAUUAAGCAUACGCCAUUCCAUAUGGUUAACCAUUGGCAUGAAAUAACACUUAUAUGUGUUUGAGUCUAUAUGUGGAUUGCUUAGCCCUUUCUAUCAGUUCAGACUUUUGGUUGCGUUGGCUACUGCAUGAAGCAUGACAUUCAUACUUAUCCUAAAAAUUGUUGCUGCUUCCCUCUGUUGCCCAACAUAAAUUAUUUUUGAGCCAUAAUUUGUUUGCCCUUUUCAUCAGUUUGGACUUUCGGUUGCGUUGGCUAGUGCAUGAAGCUUGACAAUAUGAACAUCAAUUAUUUUUGAGCCAUAGUUUGUUUAUCAUUACACCUUUUGAGCAGUCUCACUGCUACUAUUAAUUUGUUCUUAUAUGCACAGUUCCAUGAUAAAUCUCAUCUGCAUUUCUCGCCAAUGCAUGUUAGGUCUUCCACUCGAGAUUGAGUACGAAGAGCAACGGAGGCAAACUAUCCUGCAUAAUAUCCGAGUUGCAGCCUCGUUGGGCCUAACACUACAUCAUUCUACAAGGUCUAGUGAAAAAAACGCCACCCACCUACCUAACAAAGGAUACAGAACAUUCCUCUGAUUCAGAAUUUUAUCCUGCUGAUUGUGAUGGCGAGCUGACUCAGGAAGAUGCCCUGGUCGACUAUCCUCUGCAACACAACAAGAUUCGGGCAAGAACUUUUCAAGAAUAAACAGGAGGAAGAACACUCAACGGGAACCUCAGGCUGAUACCGGAGGAUGGGUGACAGUGCGUAAUAAAAAAAGGGUUAAGCCUGAUGCUCGUGCUGCUCCUCCUAUUACAAGGUCUAACAAGACACUGACACGAGGUGGCGAACAGGCCAAGAAUGAUAACAGUAAAGGUAUCGUAAAAACCACAAACCAUCGAAUCAGACAGAAGUAGCCCCAGCAUGUACCAGCCCACAUAUUCCACAACCACCAGUUGCCAAUACUGUUUCUCAGCAACAAUUGCCAACAGAACCAGUUUCCACAGCAAAUUCUAGCCAACAAUUGGCACCAUCGGGAGUGGUGGUAGGUAAUAAUGGCCAAGGAAACAUGAUGCUAGUCCCAGAUGAUACAUCCUCAAAUGUCCAAAUAGUGCUGCCACAACACCAGCAAAGUGGUGAUGAUCUCCCUCCAACCCUUAGUCCUGCGAAAGACAACUCCUCUCCCGAUGAUGAGACCCACGCCAAAAAUGGUUCGCCACGAUCAAUAAAAACGAGGGGGCCAACGGUAGAAGAAAACUUGCAGCUAAGAUUUCCGGAAUGGGUUCAAUAUUUUGCAUCACAUCUAUUGUAGGUGGCAGAAGGCCACUUCAUCCGCAUGAAUCUUCAUAUCUUGUAUCACAGGUUGGCUAUUUUAUCAGGAAUGAACUUCUUACCUUCCCAUUGUGGAAGCGGCACGUUGAAACCCCUUCACAGUUCGAGAGUUUAGUGCAUAAUUUACAUGUAACUCAUGCUUCUCCUGUUAAGGUUUGAAUUUGAUGAGGAUAAUGAGGAUGUUAAGUUUGUCAUCGCUUCCAUAUUCAAAGAAUUGUUGCGCCAGGACCGCUAUAAGCUUAAGGCGACAUACUUCACUGGCCAGAUUACUGCCAAUGUUCGAACAACGUCUCCUGCACCCUUUAUGAAUGACGAGCAGUGGGGAGAUCUUGUCAAGCACUGGUCUGAUCCAAAGAAUGUGAUGUUGUCUAAAAGGAACCAUGCUAACCGCUUGAAACAACGUUUACCAAGCCGUACAUGAUCUCUUCACUUGGUUGGGCAUCUCUGGCAAAAAAAAGUAGAUCAUGCAAACAAGAUGCGACCAGACAAAGAGAUGACUCUGGCAGAGCAGUUCAAAGCAUGCUAGAGAAACAAACAUAAUGUGAUAGGAGAACUCGCAAAAAGUGUUAUUGCAAAUAUGAAAUUGGAGAUGGCAAAACCCGGGAAAGACGGUAUGGAAAAAACUCUAGAAGAAUGUAUGGAGACAUUUACCAUGAUACUUAAAAAUAAAGAUAUCACCAAAAACACUUUCCUGCGAAAUGUUGGGUUUUUGCAGUCCAAGUCCAAGUCCAAGUCUUUCUCUGCACAAGUUCUGUAGGAACAACUCCAAAUAGAACGAGCUGCAGCAGAUGUGUUAAGAAACCAAAUUGACAUGUUGAGAUCGAGAUCUGAAGCAUGUGAUGCCCUACUGCAGGAGGCCAAUCAAGUUCGUUAUAAUCUCUCAAAGACUAAUAAAAUGCCAUAGAUAAUUGGAGAUGAACACUGACAUUGACAUGUGAGUACCUUGGUAUUGUGAAAUGUUUCCUGAGACCGAGGCACUCUUCCUAUUUUGUUGGUGGAUGCAUUUAUCUGCGGCUGGGAUCAACUUGGUAGUUGUUCCUAUGGAUGUUUUAUAAAUUGGUUGCCUAGCCUUUUCAAUCAGUUCGAACUUAAAUGGUAUUAGAGCCAAGGUCUCGAGUUUGAAUUGUUGACGGUGUGGUUCAAUUCAUCCUUAAAUUGUUGGUGCCCCAUUGGCCCUUGUAAAUCUUCAUGUGCCUACCUCCGAAUCCAGUGUUGAAUUUCUCUUGUCACACACGAGGAUGGCUGUUAAUGUGUGUAUAAGUGGGUUGCAUAGCCCCUUUUAUAUAAGGUUGCAAGUUUCCUUAUUGUGUUGUGCCUUUGGGACUCAGCCUGCACUUCUGACUUCUGGUUGCGUUGGCUACUGCAUAAGUUUAAUAUAGUUCCAUGUGGUUUUUGUUGAGAUCUAUAAGAGAAAGUCCAAGAGGCACCCUAUAGCCUCCCCAAUCCUAAAUAUAGGGGAGAAAUAGGAGAAAACACCCUCCAAUAGCCCCCCUACACAUGCCCCCAAUAAAUCUGCAUCCCCAACCCACCCCUCCUUCUUCCCUAUACAUUGGGGUGGUGGAAGCCUCCCCUAUACAAGUAAUAAU